This 253-nucleotide ribosomal RNA is filed under the name uncultured bacterium. RNAcentral describes it as "partial 16S ribosomal RNA". It matches the Rfam family "Bacterial small subunit ribosomal RNA", at positions 524 to 776 of the family's 1533-position model. The record is from RNAcentral.
UACGGGGGGGGUAAGCGUUGUUCGGAAUUACUGGGCGUAAAGGGCUCGUAGGCGGCCAACUAACUCAUACGUGAAAUCCCUCAGCUUAACUGGGGAACUGCGUGUGAUACUGGAUGGCUUGGAUUUGGGAGAGGGAUGCGGAAUUCCAGGUGUAGCGGUGAAAUGCGUAGAUAUCUGGAGGAACACCGGUGGCGAAGGCGGCAUCCUGGACCAAUAUUGACGCUGAGGAGCGAAAGCCAGGGGAGCAAACGGG